Long non-coding RNA from Rosa chinensis, 2717 nucleotides. RefSeq lists it as uncharacterized. The record is from RefSeq and is a predicted model, not a curated record. The transcript has 5 exons. Lineage: Eukaryota; Viridiplantae; Streptophyta; Magnoliopsida; Rosales; Rosaceae.
GUUCCCUCCUUAGCUAAAAAAUUAGGUCUCUCCCUUCCAAAUCGCUCUCAGCCUCUUUCUCACUCGCCAUCGUUCUCAGCCUCUCUCUCACUCCCUAUCGCUCUCAGCCUCAAUCCCGCUCACUCUCUCACCCUUGUCGAGCCUCUCAGCCUCACUCUCACUCAGCCUCAUCGAUCUCUCUCCGUCGUGCGUGCCUUCAGUCUCUCCACCACGGGUUCUCUUUCUGUCAGUCUCCCUCAGUCGCUACUCCAUAUCUCUCUCUCUCUCUCCCCCUCCCCCUUGAGGAUCCACGGGUUCACUCUUCAGCCUCCAUCUCUCUCUCCUUAUUUUGCGACACGGGUUGGGUGCACCGGCGUUGUGUUUUUCGUUGAGGAGAAAGAUGAACGACUCAGAUUGUAAUUUUUAAUAAUAAAAUUCAGAUAUGACCAUAUGAUAUUGUGGAUUCAUAUGGAUUUUGGUAAAUUUGUUUAGGUUUUUAAUCAAAAGUGAACCGGGCCUGUCUGAAGCUUAGGAUUUAUAGCUAGCUAUUUGGUAAUCUAAGAUGGUGUCUGUUUGGUUUUUAAUAUUUGGUUCGAUUGAGUGUGUUGAAUUAGUUUCUGGGUUCACUUGGUUGGAAUUGGAUCUGUAGGAAUUGGAAUUGAGUGUAUUGAACUAGUUUCCACUUGGUAAUGUCUUCAGCAAUGUUGCUUCAAACUAUGAUACAAUGAACGAUUUGAUGAGUGUAGGAUUACACAGAUUAUGGAAGAAUGAGUGUAGGGUACUGAAUCUAUUUUGGAAUUGGGGUUGAACUAUUGGACAGUUUGAGCUUUGAAGAGAAGAAUUUGUGGGUUUUUCUAUAUCAAAAACUGUUGAGAUUGAUUUUAUUUUGUGUUUUCCUAAAUUGCUAAUAUCAGUAAUAUGCUAUCGUUGAGUUGAUUGUUGAAUAAUGAAUAUGGAGCAUUUUUUUUACUGCAUAUUGUUAAAGUCAAGUAGUGGAUAAGAGGAUGGAAGUCAAAGUUCAUAUCCUAAUAUGAUGAAGAAUCGGUUUAAGGAAAUGAAGGGAAUAUCUCAAAUUGUAUCUGUUAUAGGUUUCUUAAUUCUUAUUUAGUUUUACAGUCUAUAUAUCAUCUCAUCCCACUUUCUUUCUAUAUUUCAAAAUUUGGAGUCAGUUCUACUCGUAAUGGAUAACUAGACCUGUAUUUUCCUUUUCUUUUUGCCUAGAGAUAGUAAAUUGAAGUUAGGAUAUGGAAACUAAAGAGCUUGUGAGGAUAAAGAACAAUGGAGCUAGCAUUUUGCAUUGAGAAUGGUUAACAGUUAUAUUUGCCCAAGUUUCAAUGGAAGAUUUUGUCAUUUAAUCAUUAAAAAAAAAAAAAACUCAUUGCACUUCGUAAAGGUCAAGUACUAGUUUAGUUAAUGGAAGUGUCAAAUUUUGCAUCCUAAAAUGGAUGUUGAAAACCCAAGAAGUGAGUAGAUUUUCUAGGAGGAAAGCGAAAGUGAGUUUAUCUGAAAUGGGCUGCUGUGUUGUUGAUUCUCUUACUUAUUUCUUCUGGUCUAUUUAACAACUUAUUGCUUUGAAUAUUACGGUUAGAUACGUAAGUAGGAGUAUUUUAAUACAUUUACCUUUGAGUUUAUAGAGUCAAAGUGACACAGAGUCCAGCUAUUGAUGCAUACCUCACUCUUUAUGUUUAACUUAAUAAGACAAACGUUUUGCUUCAUAUGCAGCAUUUGCUUUGAGUUAUCAUAUUUUAUUGGAAUUAGACUGUUGUAUCUGUAUUGUGAUUGAUUCUACAAAUGGGUUUGUUAUAUAGGUGUUCUUUGUGGACUGAUUGUUACUUUCUUACUAAUGUUCUAUAGUGAUUGCAGGAACUUCCGGGCACAAUUACUAGCUAAUGCACAUGCAGCUUUCUAGUUGGACUUUCUAAUGACAGGUUGAUGUACUUUCCAAGGGGACUAAUUUUAAUUGUAUUGGUGAUUGGGUUGUGGAGGCCACUGUAAAGUAAGAUUAGUUUGCAUGCACAUUUUCUUCUACUUAUUUAUAUAGUAUCUAUCUAAAAGAGUUUCCCUUGGUGCUUGUUUGUUUGCAAUGUUAUGAGCAUUCACCUGACGAGUGCAAAGUCUUUGGUUGGAUAGUUGGAGUUGCACAAAAGGAAAAGAAGGGGCGGGAUGUGUAUGUUAUGGUGAGCUUCUUGAUGGGAAUUCUGGAAGUUUACUUAGUACUGAGCAGCAAAUCCAUGCUCCAGCUAAUUUAAUAAAAGGCACACACCAAAUGCUUUCACAAGCAAUAUAGUGCUUUUAACAGAUCACACAGUUUUGUUUUUCUGGGCCAUGCAAAUACUGAAAGGCACUUUGCAUUGUGUCUUCAUCAAGAUUGGGUAUCAAGGUGGGCUUUGCUUAAAAAUUAGGAUCAAGAAGGUUGGUAUGUGGAGAUAAUAAUAAAGGCAUACGGAGAAAGCUUGCCUUGACCACACUGCUGGCUUAGUUGCUGUGUGUAAAUAGUACUAUCGUAUCUAGUAGUUGGUGACUUAUUUUGGUAACCUCCUUGAUUGUACAAGAUAGACAAUAUUACUUGCUAGAUUGAGGUUACUUUUGGUUAGGAUUGCUGGAUUUGAUCAUAUCUGGAUAUGGAUAUGUACUUUUGGAAAUGUUUUGGAUUGGCAAUGUAAGAACAGAUGGCAUUGAUAUAUGACAAUGUUAUAUUUUGGAUUUGUUCAGGAUAUGAAUGUUCAUAUUUGCAACAA